GAGCCAUGCGUUGAGCACAAAGCGAUUUAUUCUUUCGCCUUUUAUUAAAGAACACCGUGUGCUCGUCAUUUCUAAGUGGCAUACGCCUUUUUUUUUUAGGGGCGCACCUCUGUGGUGCCCC
Molecule: small nuclear RNA, 121 nt
Organism: Malus domestica (apple)
Lineage: Eukaryota; Viridiplantae; Streptophyta; Magnoliopsida; Rosales; Rosaceae
Product: U5 spliceosomal RNA
Source: RefSeq, a predicted model, not a curated record